Molecule: long non-coding RNA, 606 nt
Organism: Nothoprocta perdicaria
Lineage: Eukaryota; Metazoa; Chordata; Aves; Tinamiformes; Tinamidae
Exons: 2
Source: RefSeq, a predicted model, not a curated record
CUCCCGGAGCAGCCUUGGCCGYGGCUCCGGAGCGGGAUGAAUCACGGCUCGUAGCGGGAGGGAGGCAGGGAGGGAAAUGCAGCCUUGGUCCUCGUGGGAACGGCUGGGUCUGCCGGGCAGAGCGAGAUAACGCACGGCGCUAACCGAUCAGCACAGAAAAGCCCUCACACUUUCCAUUUGCACACUGAGGACCACAGCUGUCUCGGUAAGCGACCUAGAACAUUAAACCUAACUGAAAACCAGCAUGAAAUGGGAAAUAAAAAGCACACGUUAGGUGCACAGCUCUGCACACGCUGUGGGUGCCGCAUGGGCGCUCGUUGACCAGCUCCUCGCGGWGCCACCACCGUCCCGGGCGCUGGCCUUGUGCUGCCCAAUGGGUGCUCCUUUCUCCAAGGUCUCCCAGCGAUUUUGUCCUUUCGGCGCUGGGAUCAAUGGGCACGAUUGAAUUGGUCACGUUGCCACUUUUUUCGUAAUUUGCUAAGAUUUCACGAGAGGCCGCCGAAGGCCACAGAUGGACGUGUUGAGCAAGAGGGUUUGGGACAGCGUUAGCAAGUGAUGCUUUGUCGCUGGCGCACACAGCAUGGAAAUUUGGCAGCUUUUCCUCCC